RNAcentral lists this ribosomal RNA (559 nucleotides) under uncultured Propionibacterium sp. RNAcentral describes it as "SSU rRNA". It matches the Rfam family "Bacterial small subunit ribosomal RNA", at positions 551 to 1107 of the family's 1533-position model. The record is from RNAcentral. Lineage: Bacteria; Bacillati; Actinomycetota; Actinomycetes; Propionibacteriales; Propionibacteriaceae.
UUAUUGGGCGUAAGGGCUCGUAGGUGGUUGAUCGCGUCGGAAGUGUAAUCUUGGGGCUUAACCCUGGGCGUGCUUUCGAUACGGGUUGACUUGAGGAAGGUAGGGGAGAAUGGAAUUCCUGGUGGAGCGGUGGAAUGCGCAGAUAUCAGGAGGAACACCAGUGGCGAAGGCGGUUCUCUGGGCCUUUCCUGACGCUGAGGAGCGAAAGCGUGGGGAGCGAACAGGCUUAGAUACCCUGGUAGUCCACGCUGUAAACGGUGGGUACUAGGUGUGGGGUCCAUUCCACGGGUUCCGUGCCGUAGCUAACGCUUUAAGUACCCCGCCUGGGGAGUACGGCCGCAAGGCUAAAACUCAAAGGAAUUGACGGGGCCCCGCACAAGCGGCGGAGCAUGCGGAUUAAUUCGAUGCAACGCGUAGAACCUUACCUGGGUUUGACAUGGAUCGGAAGCGCUCAGAGAUGGGUGUGCCUCUUUUGGGGUCGGUUCACAGGUGGUGCAUGGCUGUCGUCAGCUCGUGUCGUGAGAUGUUGGGUUAAGUCCCGCAACGAGCGCAACCCUUG